Molecule: ribosomal RNA, 253 nt
Filed under: uncultured bacterium
Lineage: Bacteria
Description: partial 16S ribosomal RNA
Rfam family: Bacterial small subunit ribosomal RNA
Source: RNAcentral
UACGGAGGGUGCAAGCGUUAUUCGGAUUCACUGGGUUUAAAGGGUGCGUAGGUGGGCAUGUAAGUCAGUGGUGAAAUCUCCGGGCUUAACCCGGAAACUGCCAUUGAUACUAUUUGUCUUGAAUACUGUGGAGGUCAGCGGAAUAUGUCAUGUAGCGGUGAAAUGCGUAGAUAUCUGGAGGAACACCGGUGGCGAAGGCGGCAUCCUGGACCAUAACUGACGCUGAGGCGCGAAAGCUAGGGGAGCAAACGGG